AAAGAUGCUCAUUAACCAUGAAAAAGAGUUUAGCAUACAUUAAUACAAAUGUAGAUUAUGGUAAAAAAUUUAAAACAACACUAAAGAUUAUAGGCUUCAGUAUAUAAAGUAUUUACCAAAAACUCAAUAUUUUUGUAGGGGUUAGACCAUAGAUUUUGAGAAAAUUUCAAAAAAUAUGACAAUGUUGUUUUAAUGCCUAGUUGCAUCCUGCACUAACAUAUGAUGAUGUUCAAAUAGGUUUGGAGCCUUUGUCGUCUCCGUUUAUCAAGAAAAUAAUAACUUUAUAGUGGUUAUUCCAUCGAUUUAGGGAGUAUUAUGAAGUUUUAUUAAAUUAUUUGAUAAAAACAAUUGAACGAUGCUCAUUUACAAUGAAAAAGAGUUUAGCAAUCCGAUCAACCCACCAAGUUUGCAUCAUAAC
RNAcentral lists this long non-coding RNA (418 nucleotides) under Brassica napus (rape). RNAcentral's name for it is "long non-coding RNA (BNAP_LNC000928)". The record is from RNAcentral. Lineage: Eukaryota; Viridiplantae; Streptophyta; Magnoliopsida; Brassicales; Brassicaceae.